Molecule: ribosomal RNA, 620 nt
Filed under: uncultured Pseudonocardia sp.
Lineage: Bacteria; Bacillati; Actinomycetota; Actinomycetes; Pseudonocardiales; Pseudonocardiaceae
Description: bacterial SSU rRNA
Rfam family: Bacterial small subunit ribosomal RNA
Source: RNAcentral
UCGACCGGGACGAAGCGAGAGUGACGGUACCGGUAGAAGAAGCACCGGCCAACUACGUGCCAGCAGCCGCGGUAAUACGUAGGGUGCGAGCGUUGUCCGGAAUUAUUGGGCGUAAAGAGCUCGUAGGCGGUGUGUCGCGUCGGUCGUGAAAACUUGGGGCUCAACCCUGAGCGUGCGGUCGAUACGGGCAUCACUUGAGUUCGGCAGGGGAGACUGGAAUUCCUGGUGUAGCGGUGAAAUGCGCAGAUAUCAGGAGGAACACCGGUGGCGAAGGCGGGUCUCUGGGCCGAUACUGACGCUGAGGAGCGAAAGCGUGGGGAGCGAACAGGAUUAGAUACCCUGGUAGUCCACGCCGUAAACGGUGGGCACUAGGUGUGGGGGCCAUUCCACGGUCUCUGUGCCGCAGCUAACGCAUUAAGUGCCCCGCCUGGGGAGUACGGCCGCAAGGCUAAAACUCAAAGGAAUUGACGGGGGCCCGCACAAGCGGCGGAGCAUGUGGAUUAAUUCGAUGCAACGCGAAGAACCUUACCUGGGUUUGACAUGCACUAGACGCGUCUAGAGAUAGGCGUUCCCUUGUGGCUGGUGUGCAGGUGGUGCAUGGCUGUCGUCAGCUCGUGUCG